GAGGGUAUAGCUUAGUGGUAGAGUGUGUGCUUAGCAUUAACGAAGUCCUGGGUAAAAUCCCCAGUACCUCCA
This 72-nucleotide transfer RNA is filed under the name Camelus bactrianus (Bactrian camel). It matches the Rfam family "tRNA". Rfam says of the family: Transfer RNA (tRNA) molecules are approximately 80 nucleotides in length. Their secondary structure includes four short double-helical elements and three loops (D, anti-codon, and T loops). RNAcentral also lists the same sequence under 2 other names. Lineage: Eukaryota; Metazoa; Chordata; Mammalia; Artiodactyla; Camelidae. The record is from Rfam by way of RNAcentral.